This 421-nucleotide ribosomal RNA is filed under the name uncultured bacterium. RNAcentral's name for it is "bacterial SSU rRNA". It matches the Rfam family "Bacterial small subunit ribosomal RNA", at positions 355 to 774 of the family's 1533-position model. The record is from RNAcentral.
UAAGGAAUAUUGGUCAAUGGACGCAAGUCUGAACCAGCCAUGCCGCGGGAAGGAUGAAGGUCCUCUGGAUUGUAAACUUCUUUUAUCUGGGACGAAAACGGGAUUUUUAUCUCAAUUGACGGUACCAGAGGAAUAAGCACCGGCUAACUCCGUGCCAGCAGCCGCGGUAAUACGGAGGGUGCGAGCGUUAUCCGGAUUUACUGGGUUUAAAGGGUGCGUAGGUGGGCUUAUAAGUCAGUGGUGAAAUCUCCGAGCUUAACUUGGAAACUGCCGUUGAUACUAUAGGUCUUGAAUUAUCUGGAGGUAAGCGGAAUAUGUCAUGUAGCGGUGAAAUGCUUAGAUAUGACAUAGAACACCAAUUGCGAAGGCAACUUACUACAUAUAAAUUGACGCUGAGGCACGAAAGCGUGGGGAUCAAACA